UGCGAAUGGCUCAUUAUAUAAGUUAUCGUUUAUUUGAUAGUAUCUUGCUACUUGGAUAACCGUGGUAAUUCUAGAGCUAAUACAUGCUAAAAAUCCCGACUUCGGAAGGGAUGUAUUUAUUAGAUUAAAAACCAAUGCCCUCUGGGCUCUCUUGGUGAAUCAUGAUAACUUCUCGAAUCGCAGGGCCUUGCGCCGGCGAUGGUUCAUUCAAAUUUCUUCCCUAUCAACUUUCGAUGUUUGGGUAGUGGCCAAACAUGGUUGCAACGGGUAACGGAGGGUUAGGGCUCGACCCCGGAGAAGGAGCCUGAGAAACGGCUACUACAUCCAAGGAAGGCAGCAGGCGCGCAAAUUACCCAAUCCCGAUCCGGGGAGGUAGUGACAAUAAAUACUGAUACAGGGCUCUUUUGGGUCUUGUAAUUGGAAUGAGUACAAUUUAAAUCCCUUAACGAGGAACAAUUGGAGGGCAAGUCUGGUGCCAGCAGCCGCGGUAAUUCCAGCUCCAAUAGCGUAUAUUAAAGUUGUUGUGGUUAAAAAGCUCGUAGUUGAACCUUGGGCCUGGCUGGCCGGUCCGCCUCACCGCGUGCACUGGUCCGGCCGGGCCUUUCCCUCUGUGGAACCCCAUGCCCUUCACUGGGUGUGGCGGGGAAACAGGACUUUUACUUUGAAAAAAUUAGAGUGCUCCAGGCAGGCCUAUGCUCGAAUACAUUAGCAUGGAAUAAUGAAAUAGGACGUGCGGUUCUAUUUUGUUGGUUUCUAGGACCGCCGUAAUGAUUAAUAGGGACAGUCGGGGGCAUCAGUAUUCAAUUGUCAGAGGUGAAAUUCUUGGAUUUAUUGAAGACUAACUACUGCGAAAGCAUUUGCCAAGGAUGUUUUCAUUAAUCAGGAACGAAAGUUAGGGGAUCGAAGACGAUCAGAUACCGUCGUAGUCUUAACCAUAAACUAUGCCGACUAGGGAUCGGACGAUGUUAUUUUUUGACUCGUUCGGCACCUUACGAGAAAUCAAAGUGCUUGGGCUCCAGGGGGAGUAUGGUCGCAAGGCUGAAACUUAAAGAAAUUGACGGAAGGGCACCACCAGGGGUAAACCUGACCUGUGAAGCCGCAGUCAACUCUGCUCCAGAAAGCCGCCCGAAAGGGUCGGUGGUGUUCCUAGGGGAGAGCUCUCCCCUAAACUAAUGGCUAGUCCUGCCGCCCGCGGCAGGGCGACACCCUCAAACUGACGGGGAACUCCUAAAGCCCUCGCUCCGGACAGGCGUCGGGAAACCGACGGCCUGCUCACCAGGCUAACGACCUCGGGUAUCGGAAGCAACGCGAGAGGAUGCUACAAUGGACAAUCCGCAGCCAAGCCCCUACGGUGCGGCCUCUACGGGGGUCGCAUACGGGGAAGGUUCAGAGACUUGACGGGGGUGGGUGGCGCGGGCUCUUGGGGUGCAAGCCGCGUGCUUGCUUGCAGGCCCAGGCGCCCGCCGCUGCCUAAGAUAAAGUCCGGGCGUGCGCGAAAGCGUGCGCGGCAACCACGCAACCCGCCGUUUCCAGCGGGUGCGAGGCCCCAGAAGUAAAAACAACCGGGAGCCUGCGGCUUAAUUUGACUCAACACGGGGAAACUCACCAGGUCCAGACACAAUGAGGAUUGACAGAUUGAGAGCUCUUUCUUGAUUUUGUGGGUGGUGGUGCAUGGCCGUUCUUAGUUGGUGGAGUGAUUUGUCUGCUUAAUUGCGAUAACGAACGAGACCUUAACCUGCUAAAUAGCCCGUAUUGCUUUGGCAGUACGCCGGCUCUAGU
RNAcentral lists this ribosomal RNA (1779 nucleotides) under Ustilaginoidea virens. RNAcentral's name for it is "bacterial SSU rRNA". It matches the Rfam family "Eukaryotic small subunit ribosomal RNA", at positions 88 to 1391 of the family's 1831-position model. Lineage: Eukaryota; Fungi; Ascomycota; Sordariomycetes; Hypocreales; Clavicipitaceae. The record is from RNAcentral.